AUGGGACGCCCUCAAAGUGCGCUUCGUCGGUGCCGAUCGGGUGCGGGCGGCGAGGCUUGCGAUGCUGCGCGGCAAGUUCGAUCGCCUGCGGACGGACUGGUCGACUACGCCGGGAAGGUCAGCGGCAUGGCGGCGAGGUACGUGGUGCUCGGAUCGACGCUCGACAACAGCGCCAUUGUGAAGAAGCUACUCAACACCGUGGCGGACCGGUUGUACGCCGCGGUCACCGGCAUCGAGCAGUUCUGCAACAUGGAGGAGAUGGCGUUCGAGCAGGCGCUCGGAUGGCUCAAGGCGUUUGAGGAGAGGACGCGGCAGCGUGUGUAG
RNAcentral lists this ribosomal RNA (324 nucleotides) under Triticum aestivum (bread wheat). RNAcentral's name for it is "partial small subunit ribosomal RNA". Lineage: Eukaryota; Viridiplantae; Streptophyta; Magnoliopsida; Poales; Poaceae. The record is from RNAcentral.